RNAcentral lists this ribosomal RNA (1092 nucleotides) under Lactiplantibacillus plantarum. RNAcentral describes it as "bacterial SSU rRNA". It matches the Rfam family "Bacterial small subunit ribosomal RNA", at positions 65 to 1144 of the family's 1533-position model. The record is from RNAcentral. Lineage: Bacteria; Bacillati; Bacillota; Bacilli; Lactobacillales; Lactobacillaceae.
UGCUUGCAUCAUGAUUUACAUUUGAGUGAGUGGCGAACUGGUGAGUAACACGUGGGAAACCUGCCCAGAAGCGGGGGAUAACACCUGGAAACAGAUGCUAAUACCGCAUAACAACUUGGACCGCAUGGUCCGAGCUUGAAAGAUGGCUUCGGCUAUCACUUUUGGAUGGUCCCGCGGCGUAUUAGCUAGAUGGUGGGGUAACGGCUCACCAUGGCAAUGAUACGUAGCCGACCUGAGAGGGUAAUCGGCCACAUUGGGACUGAGACACGGCCCAAACUCCUACGGGAGGCAGCAGUAGGGAAUCUUCCACAAUGGACGAAAGUCUGAUGGAGCAACGCCGCGUGAGUGAAGAAGGGUUUCGGCUCGUAAAACUCUGUUGUUAAAGAAGAACAUAUCUGAGAGUAACUGUUCAGGUAUUGACGGUAUUUAACCAGAAAGCCACGGCUAACUACGUGCCAGCAGCCGCGGUAAUACGUAGGUGGCAAGCGUUGUCCGGAUUUAUUGGGCGUAAAGCGAGCGCAGGCGGUUUUUUAAGUCUGAUGUGAAAGCCUUCGGCUCAACCGAAGAAGUGCAUCGGAAACUGGGAAACUUGAGUGCAGAAGAGGACAGUGGAACUCCAUGUGUAGCGGUGAAAUGCGUAGAUAUAUGGAAGAACACCAGUGGCGAAGGCGGCUGUCUGGUCUGUAACUGACGCUGAGGCUCGAAAGUAUGGGUAGCAAACAGGAUUAGAUACCCUGGUAGUCCAUACCGUAAACGAUGAAUGCUAAGUGUUGGAGGGUUUCCGCCCUUCAGUGCUGCAGCUAACGCAUUAAGCAUUCCGCCUGGGGAGUACGGCCGCAAGGCUGAAACUCAAAGGAAUUGACGGGGGCCCGCACAAGCGGUGGAGCAUGUGGUUUAAUUCGAAGCUACGCGAAGAACCUUACCAGGUCUUGACAUACUAUGCAAAUCUAAGAGAUUAGACGUUCCCUUCGGGGACAUGGAUACAGGUGGUGCAUGGUUGUCGUCAGCUCGUGUCGUGAGAUGUUGGGUUAAGUCCCGCAACGAGCGCAACCCUUAUUAUCAGGUUGCCAGCAUUAAGUUGGGCACUCUGGG